Molecule: transfer RNA, 89 nt
Filed under: Oscillospiraceae bacterium
Lineage: Bacteria; Bacillati; Bacillota; Clostridia; Eubacteriales; Oscillospiraceae
Description: tRNA-Ser
Rfam family: tRNA
About the family: Transfer RNA (tRNA) molecules are approximately 80 nucleotides in length. Their secondary structure includes four short double-helical elements and three loops (D, anti-codon, and T loops).
Source: RNAcentral
GGAGAGAUGUCCGAGCGGUUUAAGGAGCUAGUCUUGAAAACUAGUGAUACCGAAAGGUACCGUGGGUUCGAAUCCCACUCUCUCCGCCA